This 660-nucleotide long non-coding RNA is filed under the name Salvia miltiorrhiza (redroot sage). RNAcentral describes it as "long non-coding RNA (SMIL_LNC000152)". Lineage: Eukaryota; Viridiplantae; Streptophyta; Magnoliopsida; Lamiales; Lamiaceae. The record is from RNAcentral.
AUAAAGCGACCAAAAUUAUUAAAUGCUAAUUAGCCAUAGAUACACAGUAAUUCGAAAGUUAAUACUACAUGUAUAUAUAUAAGAUACAAUAAUAAGUUUACAACGAACUCAGUAUCACGUGUCACUAAUUACACAACAAAUCUUAGCACCUCUAAUCAGCAUAAUACACAAAUGAAAUGCCAACAUUAUUCACUUACUCACUCACCAAUUAUCUGCUACAUUUUCUCACUAAAACAUUAAAAAAAUUAAAAAACUUGUUGGCAUAUAUUUGAUUGAUUGAAGAGUUACUUCCCCUUGUUCUUAACAGCAUUGGCAGCAGAUUUCACAGCUUUCACCGCAGCUGUUCCAAUCUUCUUCCCCACCAUUGUCGAAACCUUGGGCAUCUUUUUGGGAAAAAUACUUCCCGAUCCCUUGCUCGAACUCAUCUUCGAUUAAUUCCUCAAAUGUGUGUGUGUGUGGAUAGUUUCUAUUGAUAUUUGGCAGUGUGUCAUUGAAGAUACGUAAGUUGGUAUUUAUAGAGCUUGAGAGUUGUGAAACUUCCUGAAUAAACCUUACUUUUGGGGUAUUUUCGGCGUAGUUAAUUAGGCGCUAAUUUCUGUGUGGUUUCAAGGAAGAAAGAGGAGAUAUUGCUGCUGAUUUUCCGAUCAUGCAUCAUGUUUU